GUGGGGAAUAUUGGACAAUGGGCGCAAGCCUGAUCCAGCAAUGCCGCGUGGGUGAAGAAGGUCUUCGGAUCGUAAAGCCCUUUCGACAGGGACGAUGAUGACGGUACCUGUAGAAGAAGCCCCGGCUAACUUCGUGCUAGCAGCCGCGGUAAUACGAAGGGGGCUAGCGUUACUCGGAAUUACUGGGCGUAAAGGGCGCGUAGGCGGCUCUGUUAGUCAGGCGUGAAAUUCCUGGGCUUAACCUGGGGACUGCGCUUGAUACUGCAGGGCUUGAGGCCGAGAGAGGGUGGUGGAAUUCCCAGUGUAGAGGUGAAAUUCGUAGAUAUUGGGGAGAACACCGGUGGCGAAGGCGACCACCUGGCUCGGUUCUGACGCUGAGGCGCGACAGCGUGGGGAGCAAACAGGAUUAGAAACCCGUGUAGUCC
This 425-nucleotide ribosomal RNA is filed under the name uncultured bacterium. Its description in RNAcentral is "bacterial SSU rRNA". It matches the Rfam family "Bacterial small subunit ribosomal RNA", at positions 354 to 796 of the family's 1533-position model. The record is from RNAcentral.